Molecule: long non-coding RNA, 1101 nt
Organism: Brassica rapa (field mustard)
Lineage: Eukaryota; Viridiplantae; Streptophyta; Magnoliopsida; Brassicales; Brassicaceae
Source: RefSeq, a predicted model, not a curated record
UAUUUGUUUCUUUUUAUUUUAUAAACAGUUUUAUUUAAUGAGAAAAGUAAAUAAAAAUUAAUUCUUUAAAAAAUAAUUUAAAAUUUGAUUUUACAUGACUUUAUAUCUAAAUAUAGUUAUUUUAAAGUCAUCCAAAAUCAGAUACAUAUCAAUACUAUUAAAAGGAAAGGAGUUCUAAAAAAUCUACUUAAAACAAGUCAUAGUUAGACCAUUUCAUUUAACUAGAAUUCCUAUUAUUUCUCAUACUACUAACUUCAUUAUUCUUCAUUAAAGACAAAUUAGUCAUAGAAAAUGAUACUAACCUAAUUCUCUACAUAUACAUUUACUAUAUACACAUUAUUCCAUCAUAAUUAUUUUGUGUUAUUAUUAAAUAAUGUCCACCCUAUAUCUAUAUCUAUAUAUAUAAAAUACAGUUUCCUCUCUCCUUAGACAUGCCACAUAGGAUUCCAUGUCAUAAACUAGAAAGCUGAAAACGCAACACGUGUCCUCUAUACAAAACUUAGCGUUUCAUUAACUAGCGAUUAUAUUUUUAUUGGGCUUAUUCUGUUUUUCUUUUUACCCUGUCUAACGGCCCGAUAGACCACAUGAUUCAACCCUAAUUGUGAUUUACGCAAAAGAUGAAAUUUAAGGUUUCUCUGUUCUUUGGAACUGAGGCGACUUUUGAUCUUCGUCUGGUUCACUGAAACGCACCCAGAUAUUUAUUCAUCGUCUUUAAUCCUUUAUUAAUUCAAACACCCACGAUCUAGCCUUGAAUGCGAUCUUCCAUCAUGGUGAGGCUGUCUAACUAAGAAUAUAAAUAGGAACCAAAUAUCCGUGAAGAAGCUUCGGCACUAUAUUGUCUACAGGAGAUAACAAUAAUACGUGAAGGCAAGCGUUUGAAUCACAAGCCAAAGACCAAAUACCGUUUCACUCAUUCAAGGCACCUCUUCAUAUCUACACAUACACUACAUCAGAGUCUUCGGUUGACAUCCUUUUCAAUUCAUCUUCACCUUCUGCUGCACCCGUAACAUCUAUAUAUAGUUAGCUUUUGGAAACGAUGAAUAUUGGUGUACAAAAUGAUAUUGGAAAAGUUAAUGGAGAACUUAAGUUUGCUUUCGUAAA